This 253-nucleotide ribosomal RNA is filed under the name uncultured bacterium. RNAcentral describes it as "partial 16S ribosomal RNA". It matches the Rfam family "Bacterial small subunit ribosomal RNA", at positions 524 to 776 of the family's 1533-position model. The record is from RNAcentral.
UACAGAGGUGGCAAGCGUUGUUCGGAAUUACUGGGCGUAAAGGGCUCGUAGGUGGCCAACUAAGUCAGACGUGAAAUCCCUCGGCUUAACCGGGGAACUGCGUCUGAUACUGGAUGGCUUGAGUUCGGGAGAGGGAUGCAGAAUUCCAGGUGUAGCGGUGAAAUGCGUAGAUAUCUGGAGGAAUACCGGUGGCGAAGGCGGCAUCCUGGACCGACAUUGACGCUGAAAGCCGAAAGCUAGGGGAGCAAACGGG